RNAcentral lists this ribosomal RNA (253 nucleotides) under uncultured bacterium. Its description in RNAcentral is "partial 16S ribosomal RNA". It matches the Rfam family "Bacterial small subunit ribosomal RNA", at positions 524 to 776 of the family's 1533-position model. The record is from RNAcentral.
UACAGAGGUCUCAAGCGUUGUUCGGAUUCAUUGGGCGUAAAGGGUGCGUAGGCGGCGCGGUAAGUCGGGUGUGAAAUCUCGGGGCUUAACUCCGAAACUGCAUUCGAUACUGCCGUGCUUGAGGACUGGAGAGGAGACUGGAAUUUACGGUGUAGCAGUGAAAUGCGUAGAGAUCGUAAGGAAGACCAGUGGCGAAGGCGGCGACCUGGACAAGUACUGACACUCAACUACGAAAGCGUGGGGAGCAAACAGG